This 403-nucleotide ribosomal RNA is filed under the name Fusobacteriota bacterium. Its description in RNAcentral is "Fusobacteria bacterium partial 16S ribosomal RNA". It matches the Rfam family "Bacterial small subunit ribosomal RNA", at positions 355 to 776 of the family's 1533-position model. Lineage: Bacteria; Fusobacteriati; Fusobacteriota. The record is from RNAcentral.
UGGGGAAUCUUGCACAAUGGGGGAAACCCUGAUGCAGCGACGCCGCGUGAGCGAUGAAGGUUUUCGAAUCGUAAAGCUCUGUCCUAUGGGAAGAUAAUGACGGUACCAUGGGAGGAAGCCCCGGCUAACUACGUGCCAGCAGCCGCGGUAAUACGUAGGGGGCGAGCGUUGUCCGGAAUUAGUGGGCGUAAAGGGUUCGCAGGCGGCAUGGCAAGUCCGAUGUAAAAGGCGAAGGCUCAACCUUCGUAAGCAUCGGAAACUGUCAAGCUUGAGUGAAGGAGAGGCAAGUGGAAUUCCUAGUGUAGCGGUGGAAUGCGUAGAUAUUAGGAGGAAUACCGGUGGCGAAGGCGACUUGCUGGACUUCAACUGACGCUGAGGAACGAAAGCGUGGGUAGCAAACAGG